CCUACGGGAGGCAGCAGUGGGGAAUAUUGCACAAUGGGCGCAAGCCUGAUGCAGCGACGCCGCGUGGGGGAUGACGGCCUUCGGGUUGUAAACCUCUUUCAGCAGGGACGAAGCGUGAGUGACGGUACCUGCAGAAGAAGCACCGGCCAACUACGUGCCAGCAGCCGCGGUAAUACGUAGGGUGCGAGCGUUGUCCGGAAUUACUGGGCGUAAAGAGCUCGUAGGUGGUUUGUCGCGUUGUUCGUGAAAACUCACAGCUUAACUGUGGGCGUGCGGGCGAUACGGGCAGACUGGAGUACUGCAGGGGAGACUGGAAUUCCUGGUGUAGCGGUGGAAUGCGCAGAUAUCAGGAGGAACACCGGUGGCGAAGGCGGGUCUCUGGGCAGUAACUGACGCUGAGGAGCGAAAGCGUGGGGAGCGAACAGGAUUAGAUACCCUU
RNAcentral lists this ribosomal RNA (439 nucleotides) under uncultured Nonomuraea sp. RNAcentral's name for it is "bacterial SSU rRNA". It matches the Rfam family "Bacterial small subunit ribosomal RNA", at positions 338 to 789 of the family's 1533-position model. The record is from RNAcentral. Lineage: Bacteria; Bacillati; Actinomycetota; Actinomycetes; Streptosporangiales; Streptosporangiaceae.